GCCUGGAUCAGUUGGUUAGAGAGUGGUGCUGAUAAUGCCAAGGUUGCGAGUUCGAUCCCUGCAUGGGACA
Molecule: non-coding RNA, 70 nt
Organism: Podarcis lilfordi (Lilford's wall lizard)
Lineage: Eukaryota; Metazoa; Chordata; Lepidosauria; Squamata; Lacertidae
Source: the annotation of a GenBank genome assembly